RNAcentral lists this unclassified non-coding RNA (1211 nucleotides) under Hevea brasiliensis (rubber tree). Lineage: Eukaryota; Viridiplantae; Streptophyta; Magnoliopsida; Malpighiales; Euphorbiaceae. The record is from RNAcentral.
CCAUGCAACUGCUUGAACCUUGUCAGUAUGGUCAUUCAUAGUGAGAUUACAGGCUUCGGUAGUCACAUCCCAAACCUUGACGGUAUGAUCAGCACUAGCACUAGCAAGUAUAUUCCUAUAUUCCUUGUUCCAAGAAAGACCAAGUACUGCAUCCUUGUGGCUAUCCUUUUUGUAUUUGAUAGAUUUCUUUUUUCCCUUUCUCUUUAUAUCAGCGAUGCCACCUAAAAUAACAGAUGGUUGCACCUCAUCUAUUAUGUCAAUGUCCCAAAUUUCAAUUGCUGGUUCCAUUGAGCCCACAGCUAUGAAGUUACCUCUCUCCCCGCCUUUAAUAGGGCAAUCAAGCCAAGCUGUGCAGAGAGGAAAUGCAGGUAAAAUAAGAGCAUGGUGAACAUACAUGUUUGUUUCACCAUCUGAUAGAUCUUCCAAAAUCAUAAUCUCGAGAUGACUGACAUCAUCCUCAUUGCUUGCACAAACUAUAACAGAAUCAUCAGGUCUUAUUACCAUGUCAUCAUCUUCUUCAGAGUCAUUGUCCUUAUCCUUGAGAUAUGGGUCCAUGUCAUUACUUGCGUAGUACAAGUCUUUGAGUCCUGAACCAAAAAGCUCAAUUCCCUCCUCCUCUUCAUCAUAGUUAUCCAUGUCCAGUUCCUUUAAACCAUCUAUUAUGUCAUCAGUUCCUGCAGAAGAAACUUGUGUAGCCUUUCCAAGUGCAUCAGCAGCAGCUAAUGCAAUAGCAACUUCAUCAUCCUCAUUUUUCUUGGAUUCAUCAACAUUCAUAUCUUCUUCAGCUUCCUCAUCAUCACUAUCUUCACCUUUAUCAAGAAGACCACUCUUCAAAAUCUGUUCAAUUUCCUCCUUUGAAGGUGGAUCAGCCUCAGCUGGUACAGACUUUGCAACCCCUUUGGGAACCCAUGAAAUAGCUGCUAUCAUUCUUAAACUGCUUUAUUAACCUUUCCGGCAAUACCAGGUGCUGAACCUCCCUGAUUGCACGGCCUCAGCAAGAGCAAUACCUCCCUCACCAAUACUGCAACUUUGAGUUAAGCCCGAACCACCAGAUAUAUACUCCCUCAGUUGCCGGAGAUUGCAGCUGCCAGACGCGCUCUGCUGCUGCUGCCGGUCUGCUCUGUUGCUGUUGCUCGAGGUGGAGUGACCUGCAGAGCCGGUAGGGGUUGAGAGGAGUGAGAGAGGUCAGGAGAGAAAAAAAAGAAGAAAAA